Molecule: non-coding RNA, 382 nt
Organism: Meleagris gallopavo (turkey)
Lineage: Eukaryota; Metazoa; Chordata; Aves; Galliformes; Phasianidae
Source: RefSeq, a predicted model, not a curated record
CGGCAGUGCAGGGCGGGGUGGUGGUCCGACGCUGUGGCUCCGAUGGGCAAUGGGUGACGGACGGCAGCGGGAGGCCCUGGAGGGAUCAUUCGCAGUGCGAAGACACGGAGCAGGAGACGCCGCUGCAGCGGCAGGCCUGGCUGCUGGAGCAGUUCCGCCUGGUUUACACCGUGGGUUACUCCGUGUCCCUGGUCUCCCUGCUCCUCGCCCUCCUCCUGCUGCUGCUCUUCAGGCGCCUGCGGUGCACCCGUAAUUACAUCCAUGCCAACCUGUUCCUCUCCUUCGUGUUGCGGGCGGGCGCCAUUUUGACACGGGAUGCUUUGCUGCACCGCCACCUGCGACCCGGGACCACAGACCCACUGCAGGUCCUGAGCCAGGAGGU